AUGGCACCCAAGAGCAACGCGACACGGAUGGGUGUGGUUUUCGUGGUUCUUAUGAUCAUGUCUUCCACCCUAUCAUCAUCGUCCUGCUACGCACGCACAAUUGAAGAUGGAGCUCCAGUGUGCUCCCAUAUGGAAAAGUGCCAAGACCGUUGCCAGACCGCAUGCAGCAUCGGCGGCAAGCCCUCGACUGGAGCCUACUGCAAUGUCGAUUAG
RNAcentral lists this ribosomal RNA (213 nucleotides) under Triticum aestivum (bread wheat). RNAcentral describes it as "partial small subunit ribosomal RNA". The record is from RNAcentral. Lineage: Eukaryota; Viridiplantae; Streptophyta; Magnoliopsida; Poales; Poaceae.